GCGGAGGGAGGGGGAUUCGAACCCCCGGAGGCUUGCGCCUCAGGAAGUAACUGCCGCAAGGUGGUUCGUGGGUUCGAAUCCCACCCUCUCCGCA
Molecule: transfer RNA, 94 nt
Filed under: Acidimicrobiaceae bacterium
Lineage: Bacteria; Bacillati; Actinomycetota; Acidimicrobiia; Acidimicrobiales; Acidimicrobiaceae
Description: tRNA-OTHER
Source: RNAcentral